CCUGGCUCAGAUUGAACGCUGGCGGCAGGCUUAACACAUGCAAGUCGAAACGGUAGCAGGUAAGUACUUGUACUUAUGCUGACGAGUGGCGGACGGGUGAGUAAUGCUUGGGGAUCUGGCUUAUGGAGGGGGAUACGACGGGAAACCUGUCGCUAAUACCGCGUAGAAUCGAGAGAUGAAAGUGUGGGACCUUCGGGCCACAUGCCAUAGGGUGAACCCAAGUGGGAUUAGGUAGUUGGUAGGGUAAUGGCCUACCAAGUCCGACGAUCCCUAGCUGGUCUGAGAGGAUGACCAGCCACACCGGGACUGAGACACGGCCCGGACUCCUACGG
Molecule: ribosomal RNA, 332 nt
Filed under: uncultured bacterium
Lineage: Bacteria
Description: bacterial SSU rRNA
Rfam family: Bacterial small subunit ribosomal RNA
Source: RNAcentral